RNAcentral lists this ribosomal RNA (492 nucleotides) under uncultured bacterium. RNAcentral's name for it is "partial 16S ribosomal RNA". It matches the Rfam family "Bacterial small subunit ribosomal RNA", at positions 28 to 505 of the family's 1533-position model. The record is from RNAcentral.
GACGAACGCUGGCGGCGUGCUUAACACAUGCCAGUCGAACGGUGAAGCGCCUUCCUUUUUGGUGGGUGUGGAUGAGUGGCGAACGGGUGAGUAACACGUGAGUAACCUGCCCCCUUCUUCUGGAUAACCGCAUGAAAGUGUGGCUAAUACGGGAUAUUCUGGGUCUGUCGCAUGAUGGGUCUGGGAAAGAUAUUGUUUCGGUGGGGGAUGGGCUCGCGGCCUAUCAGCUUGUUGGUGGGGUGAUGGCCUACCAAGGCGGUGACGGGUAGCCGGCCUGAGAGGGUGGACGGUCACACUGGGACUGAGACACGGCCCAGACUCCUACGGGAGGCAGCAGUGGGGAAUAUUGCACAAUGGGCGCAAGCCUGAUGCAGCGACGCCGCGUGAGGGAUGGAGGCCUUCGGGUUGUGAACCUCUUUCGCCAGUGAAGCAGGCCUGCCUCGUUUGUGGGUGGGUUGACGGUAGCUGGAUAAGAAGCGCCGGCUAACUACG